GGUCGCUUCUGCUUGAAGGCCUUUUGGUUUGUGAUGGUGUGGGCGUCGCCGUCGGUUAUCUGUUCCUCAUAUCAUGUGGGGCCUCCACCCCAACUUGUGCGAAUCUAGCGAUAAUCACAACCCUAGCCGCAACACCCCCCCAUUCUCGCCAUCGUGUGAAAUCGUCGGUGGGAAAUCCCACACGACCACUAAGGGUGGCGGUGGCGAGGUAUCUUCCCUUGGUUGCUUCUUCUGGUCGCUUUUGGCGUGUAUGAUCUUAUCGGACGUCGGUCGCCUAUUCAUGCUCUAGGAGCUUCCUAGGGCCGUGUCGACGAGCGGUGGCUACUUCAUCAUGUUGUUUUAAGGUGCGCCUGUGUUCCUUGCCAUCCUCGCCGCCCACUCUCUCCCCCCUUCUCGGCGGUUUUCUUGCCAAAUCUGGUAGUGGUUCCGCCGGAUCUGGCACAUGUUCCUCCAUGUGGUUCCUCUCUGGCCAGCGGGGGGGGUGACGUUUGGUGGUUGGUCGCUUCUGCUCGAAGGCCUUUUGGUUUCUGAUGGUGUGGGCGUCGCCGUCAGUUAUCUGUUCCUCAUAUCAUUUGGGGCCUCCACCCCCACUUGUGCAAAUCUAGCGAUAAUCACAACCCUAGCCGCCUCACUUCCACACCCCCUUCUCGCCAUCGUGUGAGAUCACCGGUGGGAAAGACCACGUGAUAACGAAGGACGACGAUGGGGAGGUAUCUUCCCUAGGUUGCUUCUUCUGGUCGCUUUUGGCGAGUAUGAUCUUGUCGGAUGCCGGUCGCUUGGCCAUGCUCAAGUCUCCUCCUGGGGUUGUGUUGAGGUGCGGUGGCUACUUCAUCAUGUCGUUACAGGUGUGCCUCUGUUCCUUUCCAUCCUUGCCGCCCACUCUCUCCCCCUCUUAGUCAUUUUCCUGCCAAAUUUGGCAGUGGUUCCGUCGGAUUUGGCACAUCUUCCUCCGUGUGGCUCCUCUCCGGCCGGUAGUGGGUGGGUUUUUACGUUUGGUGGUUGGUCGCUUCUGCUCGAAGGCCUUUUGAUUUGUGAUGGUGUGGGCGUUGCCAUCGGUUAUCUUUUCCUCAUAUUGUGCGGGACCUCCACCCCCAGCUUGGGCGACUAUAGUGAUAAUCACAACCCUAGUUGCCUCAAAUCCACACACACACACACACACACACACACACACACACUCUUGCCACCGUGGGAGAUCGCGAGUGGGAAAGCCCAAGCAACCACCAAGGACGGCGGCGACGAGGCAUGUUCCCUGGGUUGCUUCUUCUUGUCUCUUUUGGCGAGUGUGAUCGUGUCGGAUGCCAGUCGCUCUAUGCUGCCGUGUCGAGGUGCGGUGGCUACUUCAUCAUGUCGUUUCAAGUGUGCCUAUGUUCCUUGCCAUCCUUGCCACGCACUCUCUCCCCCUCUCGGUCAUUUUGUUGCCAAAUCUGGCAGUGGUUCCGUCGAAUUUGGCACAUCUUCCUCCUUGUGGCUCCUCUCCAGCCGGUAGUGGGUGGGUUUUGACACUUUGUGGUUGGUCGCUUCUGCUCAAAGGCCUUUUGGUUUGUGAUGGUGUGGGUGCCACCGUCAGUUACUUUUUCCUCAUAUCGUGCGGGGGCCUCCAUCCCCAGAUUGGGCGACUCUAGCGAUAAUCACAACCCUAGACACCUCACAUCCACCCCCCCCCCCCCAUUUCUCACCAUCGUGUGAGAUCGCCAGUGGGAAAGCCUACGCGACCACCAAGGACGGCGGCGACGAGGUAUGUUCCCUGAGUUGCUUCUUCUGGUCCCUUUUGGCAAGUAUGAUCUUGUCGGAUGCCGGACGCUUGGCCAUGCUCCGAUCGCUUCUUGAGGCCGUGUCGAGGUGCGGUGGCUACUUCAUCAUGUCGUUACAGUGGUUCCGUCGGAUCUGGCACAUCUUCCUCCUGUGGCUCCUCUCAGGCCGAUAGUGGGGGUGUUUGACGUUUGGUGGUUGGUCUCUUUUGUUCGAUGGCCUUUUGGUUUGUGAAGGUGUGGGCGUCGUCGCCGGUUAUCUCUUCCCCAUAUCGUGCUGGGCCUCCACCCCGAGCUUGCCAGUUGCGGUGGACUUCAUCAUAGGUGCUUGCUUGUGCCCCCUCUUCCUCUAGUUUGUGCUCGCCCACCUUCAUGGCGCCUCAUCUACGGCUUAGGUGACGGUUGGUCUGGUAGUGAUGGAACGGUGGCGUUGUUGUUGGGCGAUGUUGCGCCUAGGGUCAUUCAAGUAGUGUUGUCUUUAUGUUUGGUUGUGAUUUUGUCACUGGGUGCUUGUGUGUUAGUCGUUGUCAUCGUCAUGGCUGUCGAGUUUGGGUUGUGUUACAGUUGACUGGUGUCUAGGCUCUUGCAGUAGAUGUUUCUCACCUUUUCAUUUCGUAUGAUGCAACCUAAGCUAGGAUUGCUCGUCUCCAACUCGUGGAUCCGAUUCUCUUGGGUAUUGAUCUUAGGUCAUUUAGGUUCUUUCUUUUCGGGUCAUGCCUCUUUGGCGUUGUAGGACCUCGCCUUUUGGCGAUGUAUCUUUUUCUCUCGUAAUGAAUUGA
Molecule: long non-coding RNA, 2527 nt
Organism: Aegilops tauschii subsp. strangulata
Lineage: Eukaryota; Viridiplantae; Streptophyta; Magnoliopsida; Poales; Poaceae
Source: RefSeq, a predicted model, not a curated record